This 272-nucleotide ribosomal RNA is filed under the name uncultured Sporacetigenium sp. RNAcentral's name for it is "partial 16S ribosomal RNA". It matches the Rfam family "Bacterial small subunit ribosomal RNA", at positions 58 to 339 of the family's 1533-position model. The record is from RNAcentral. Lineage: Bacteria; Bacillati; Bacillota; Clostridia; Peptostreptococcales; Tepidibacteraceae.
CAAGUCGAGCGAUUUACUUCGGUAAAGAGCGGCGGACGGGUGAGUAACGCGUGGGUAACCUGCCCUGUACACACGGAUAACAUACCGAAAGGUAUGCUAAUACGAGAUAAUAUGCUUUUAUCGCAUGGUAGAAGUAUCAAAGCUCCGGCGGUACAGGAUGGACCCGCGUCUGAUUAGCUAGUUGGUGAGGUAACGGCUCACCAAGGCGACGAUCAGUAGCCGACCUGAGAGGGUGAUCGGCCACAUUGGAACUGAGACACGGUCCAAACUCC